AAGACAUUCUGUGUCAGGACUCCGUUCAGUGCACAAUGAGUACCACAUAGCAGUGCACCCCGGUGGAAAAAGAAGUGACUUUUCUGUGUGAAUUAGUGAGACUUUAGCACCGUAUCAGUGACUCAUUGCAAUGUUACAGCCGAGAUCCUGUUGGAUCGCAGCCGCCCUUCUGCUUGCAGUGUUAGCGAAAGGAGACGGCGAAGAUUUGCUCAAUGGAAGUGAAGACGGCAAGAGGUGGAAGAGGGAGACCGGAGAUGUGACUGUUCUAUCUUUGGAGGAGAAUGGGAGGUUGCGGGAUCCGCCGGUGGGCGUACUCUCGUCGACGGCACGUACCUUUGUUAACAACGGAGCGACGACAGAGUUUGCUACACAGAUACUCGGGACGACAGUCGGUAAAACCUACGCGAAACUGCUUAGCACGGGAUCCCGGGUGUUCUACGACAGCUCGAGGCAGGCGAAAGACCCUUACCUGGUCUUUCCGACCAUACCGGGGAUAAGCCCGACGAGGAGCCAAGUGCAGUACCAGACCGCGGAACCGUUCACUCCGUCGUCCCAAGAGUCUCCGACGAACCUGCCUAGUUUGAACGAGAUAAAGGAAGAACCGGCCACGACGCUUCAACCGAAGAACGUUAUAUCCGUGAGAAAAGAGUUUUCAGUCAAGAAGAACACCGAAGUGAAGCCGGCCAAAGUGAAACCGAACGGCAAUCUGCCGACGGUGACGAUCAAAAAUGAAUUCGCCCCGAGCGGUUACUCGGAGCAAGUAGACACCAUCAAAGAGCCGAAAAAGUCGAGACUCGGCAAGGGACUUUUCAGAGGAGGUGUUCAAAUCAAGAACGAGUUCCAAAAGUUUGACACGGUCACUUAUGUCGGGUUCGCGGACUUCACCACGACUGUCGGUAACACGGUCAUCAUAUUUAUGCCCAAGACUGCGGCGGCUAAUACUGGCCCGGUGACGUCGAUCGCUGGCGCUGCCACUCUGCGGCCGGAAGACGCUUUACACCCGGUUGUGACCACUGUCAAAACGUUCAUGUCUCAUUCUCCAGCGAUGGCGACGAAAACAGUAACCGGUCACAAUUUGAACGUGCAGACCUCUCUCCCUACGGUUCAAGCCGACACUAGAGCCAGCAAAGCGUACAACCCCGUUUUCGUCACUGUCGAACAGUACCCGACGACCGAAGAAAUCCCGACUUCUGAGCAUACAACGGCUGAAGGUACGUCGGAAUUCGUGACGGAACAGACGACGACGGAACAAGACGGUCACAUUUUCGAUAGUUCCGAACCGGACAUGCCGAUGGAAGAAGUGACUCCGACAGAAGCUCUCAAAUUAGGAUAUACUUAUACUACGACGAAAACAAGGGUGUUCAUUCCUGGGGAUGAGCCUUUAGGGCUUGCCAAAUCUAUAGCAGUCAUCCAAGCGUCAGACUCCACAACGACUUAUCUGACUUCCUUUUUGUUCGGUACGAUCAUAGAAGGGAGUUACACUCAGCUCACUCAAGUGGUCUCUAGUACGGCCACUCCGAAAGCAAUAACCCCGACUCCUGUGCUGUCUAAGCCGACAAUUACAGCCGCUGAGACUACAACUGAAGAUGCCGACACGACGAGUACCACAGAAAAUCCUCCUUCUACGACAGAACAGAACGAUGAUAUUACCACCGAACAAAACGAAGAAAACAAGAAUGAUUCUGACUAUAUCACUAAAUUAGUUCCAACGACUGUGCACAACACUUACACUUAUUUCACAACUUUCUUCAUCCCUAAAGGAGAAACGACGAGCACAUCCGUCAAAACUAGAGAAGUCGUCUCUGAUGAAAUCCGUUACGUCACUACUGCAGUUCCUCAAUACGAAAACACCACUCCUCCGGAUCUAAAUAUAUCUCCGACAGGAGUGACCGAAUCGUAUCAGACAACGACCCCGGAAGAGAUCGGUUCGACUACAGAAGACACCCCGUCCGGCUCUACACCACAGCUCCCCACCGAUAUCACGACCAACGUCAAUCCUGUCACUCAAGACUACGGCAAUCCAGAUACAACGACACUCGAACCGACGACCACUGAGAAAGAAGAAGAAGUGGAUAUUAUAAUAAGGACGUUAUAUACGACAUACACUUAUCUGACUACAUUCUUCCAAGAGUCGACGACCAGCGUCAGGAGUAGGGAAGUCGUUGAAACCAAUGUAGUCACUUCCACUUUAGACACGAAUAAUUUACCCGAAGCGACCGACCCUGCUGUAGCAGGAUUGUUUAAAUCGAUAAAGCCUACGAAUGUCGUUGAAAACCUUUCUUCGGACAAGUCUCCAGAAGUGCCCUCGCCCGUCGAAGAAUACAAAACGUACACUUAUUACACGACCGUUUUUGUUGACGGUGAAACAUUGAUAGAAAGCAGAACUGAAGUCGUGAAAGAAACAAUAAAUCCGACUUCGGUGAGCCAAGUACAGUAUAAAACAGUUUUGACCGAUGAAAACAACGUUGUACCCAAAGAAUAUCAAAACGCAGACGGAUCUGAUGAAGCUUUGGAAAACAAAAAAAAGCCGGCUUACGGAACGAUAUCAAGACCGGUAUUCCACGGAUCUCCUUCGUCUGAAGCACUAGUAGACCCUAAGUUGCAAUCCAGUAUCGACGACACUUAUUCAUAUGAUACGACGAUGUCGAGAAACGACAGAGUAACGUCCACAAAGCCAUUUGUCGGAAAACCGGGCGAAAGAGACCUUUUGUCGGCUAGAGAAGAAUUGAAAAAAGAAACCAUAUCUGAUUUCGAAGACAGCGAGUAUGUGGAAACUAUAGUAACCGAUGUCACGAGCAGCAGCUCAGGCGGCAAUCGUCGCAAAUCAUACGAAGAGUACGAAUCGAAUCCGAACGAUCAAGUAAGUGCUGAGAGCAACACUGAAGAAAUCGAACCGUCGUUCUCACCGACCGUGCUGCUUCAGACAAGCUACACUACAUUCACAUACUUCACAACAGUUUACAAAGGCACGUCUAGCGAUGUGAUCAGUCGGCUAGAGACUGUUACGAACUUAGUUACAGAAACUGUUAGACCCACAGAAGUAGAAACCAAUUUAAGUCCGGAAGAAGCGACACUGCCCAUAACUUAUUUCACAACUUUUACUUAUUGGACUACUCUCUACAAAGGAAAAAGCACGAUGAUCACAAGCAGAGAAGAAACCGUUUCCAAUAUUGUCACGCCCACUUUAUCCUCAUCCACUAGUCAAUCGAUUCUCUUAACAGAAACCCCAUUGUUAUUAGAAACCCCGUUAUCCCAAUCCGUGGAAAUCAUUCCGACUUCAGACGCUUCUCAGGAAUCUGUUUCUCCCGUUUCAGCAGAUCUACCCACCGUCUUCCCUGACCAGACAUCGGAAGAGAUCACCGCAACGCCAACCUCUUCAGAAGUAAUAUUAGAGCCGACAACAUAUUACACAACUUAUACAUAUUUCACGACUUCUUAUAUCGGCAACGAUACUGUUAUAAAUAGCCAUUUAGAAACUGAAACGAACGUCGUCACACCGACAGCCUCUGAUAGCCAGUCGUUACAAACAUCCGAAGUGGAAUCGUCCUCCACUGUCGAUGCUGUUGAAGGAGAAUCUACCACAACUCCCACUCCCAGCCUACAACCGACAGGAUUGAUUUCGACGAUAAGAAGCACCGUGAUCAACGAAGGAUUGACGACCCUCCUCAAUACAGACGUUUAUGGAACUUACAUUGACGGCUUGUACGCUCAAGUUCUCGAGAGUUCGUCUGAAGUUGUCACCCCAACAGCUUCGUCAGCGGCAAAACUUCAACCCACUGGAAUAGUAUCUUUAAAUGAAGGCAAAAUAGUCGAUGCGGCUGGUAUAUCGACUACUCUCUUUACUACUAAAGCUAUUGGAACGUAUAUAGACGACCUUUACGCUCAAGUGGUCGAAAGCACUUCUACUGUUGUAGUUGACGAAGAAAAGAAAACUGCUAAUCUGGAAGCUCCGCCAUCUACCACAAUGAUCGGGUCCAAGGUGUUUACAACAGGCCUCGUACGGCUCAUCGAAGGGUCGGUUAUCAAAGACAAAGACGUCACGACCUUUUACGAGUCUAGAGUCAUCGGAACCAUAAUCGACGGAAGGUACGCUCAAAUAAUAGAAAGCACGUCGAGCUUCAAAUCUGACCUUCCUCAGACUACGGCAGUUUCUCCGACUUCCACGGUUCCUCCCGGAUCUGUCAUUUCGCCCACGGUGACGUCCACGGCACCGGGACCGGCAGCGAUAGAAAGUUCGUUGAACAACGAAAACGAAGACAAAGAGGCAGACGGAGGGGACGAUGACGAAGACGGACAUUUUAAAUCAAGGUUGAGUUUUACAUCGAAGAAAAAACAAUUUACUCCUGUGAUUCGCCCAUUUUCAUCGAGACCGAGGCCGACGUUCCUUCCCAAAAAGAAAACCGGCGACCCGGCCACAACAAUUACGCGAACCUCUUUUACACCCACAGUGACUGCGACUCCGGCGUCAAAAACCGGUUUUGGAUCGAGUAGAAACAGAUUCGCACCUAGUAGAAAAUCGUCGAGCGCGGAGUUUAGACCAACUACUUCGAGUUCUAGGAGAUAUUCUCGCCCGAGAAGCAGUUCUACUCCUACCUUUGGAGGUGGGCGUAGUAGAUCUUCAACUAAAGUGCUACCGACUAUUUCCUCUACUUCAGCCCGUAGAGGUGGAUUCAACUACCGAUCGACUGGAAGGCCGAACCUUCCCAAUUUGUCCGCUAGCUCCUCUAGGUUUAGAAUUAGACCUACUCAAGCCAACGGGAGGUUUUCCGGCUCUUCUACUUUAGCAGAAGACGUCAAUAUCAAUGAUAUCACAGGAGCUGCAGCGGUUACAGAAGAAAUUGAACAAAAUACACAUCCGGGUGACGAGGAAGCGGUGACGGCCGCCCCUACGACUUCGACGGAAUCACCGAGACGAGCCAAUAACCCAUUGCUCAGGUUCAGAAGGCCCCCGAUCCUUCAAAGGCCGAGUACGACCACCACAACUACGCCCAAGCCGUCCACCACGCCCAAACGGAGUUCGUUAUUACGCCGCCCCGACAGCAGGGCCGGAUCUUCAUACAACGCACCGAAAACCCGACCAGUACCUAGUUUCACCAACAACAGGGUUAAACAAAGGCCAGCGGGCAACUUAUUCCCGCCGAGAGGCCUGGCUAGAAAACAGCCUAAAGAAGAAUUAGAAGAAAAAGAAGAAAACGAAGAAGAUCAAAUAGAUGAAAGUGGAGACGACAUUCAAGAUAACGAAUACGAAGGAUCGGAAACGGCGGAACAGACUUCUUCGACGACGACCGAACCUCCGAGAUCGAACAGAAGAAGAUCAAAAGGUUUCAACCAAGUUCAAAUCAGGCCGUUCACGAGACGUCCAAGGACGAAAAGACAAGCGUCGGAAUACGGGAGCCGCGGGUACACUGCUAGGUACCGAAGGCCUUCUACAAGAACGACCUCCCCCGAUUAUUAUUACGACGAAGUCGUUCAAGAACCGGUGAAACCUGCGACCAGAAGUUAUUCGUCAAGAUCACGGGGUCAGUCGAAUUACCAACAGAACCAACAGAAGCUCCGCCCGUCGCCUACUUCCAGCACACCGCGACAUCAAUUCACUCUGAGGGAAAGGACGUCUCAAACGACAGCGAACCCGAGACUGAACAAUUUCAGAAGGCCCACGUCAUCGCCUAGGAGGAGAGUAUCGUCCGAAUUGACGACUGUGUCACCAAGACAGAAAUCCUCGUCUCGGUCGAGAAAUCCGACUACCGAAGCCACCACUUUCACAAGGGGUAGCAGUCGGAGAUACAACUCUCAAAGAAAAACUACAAGGACUAACAGAUAUAGGGAUAAAAACGAUUUCGACCCUUACGUUACUCCAGCGUUUGACGGGACUAUCACAGUGACGCAUAAAAUUCCGACAGAAGUCACCAUUCCAGUUUUUAACGGUAAAAGUACAGAAUACAAAAAUGUGAUAACUGCAAAGCCCAGCCUCGAGGUUCUGGGGCCAUAUCAAUACACGAGCUCUUUCGGAAAAGACGGAAAAUCCACCAUCCAGCUCACAAGUGAAAUCACUUCCACGCUACCUAAUGGAUUUAUGGAAGUGACGAAAUUUUUAGUUUACGAAACACCGACUACCAGUGUCACUUUUACCCCGACUACCUUGCGGGGUAGGAAAACGUCAUUCUCUCACAUUGUACCAAGCACGAUAUACGAAGUACGACCUGAGAUCAGCACUGUCCAACCCGAUCUAGGAAACGCUCCUCUAGCGAAUCUACUACUAUCGCAGUUGUUACUGGGAAAUUUGGGCAUGCCGAACACUGUUGUACAAACACCGGGAACACCGACGACGGAAUUCAAGACCAAAACGACAACCUACGUCACAACGGUCACUUCCCACACAUCCACGGUACUCCCUCUGACCUUCCGAGGUAAAGCUAUAACCACAACUAUUGUCGACAGUUCCACUCAAGUGAUAACGGCUACUGAAUAUCUCACCGAGACGAUCGUCGUGACGCCAACGGCCGUCGUCGCGCCGCAGAUCACCAAUCAGCUCAACACGCUUUUACUCCCGGCACUCCUUCAAGCUCAGCUUUUGGGAAAUCAGCAAAAGCCUAAAAACAAUCAGCAGGACUUUUUAAAUACGAAAGUUCAAGACGACGACGACGACGACAUCGAACAAAGGUACAGCAAAGAUAAGGACGACGACCUGGAAGACGAAAGGCCGGUGAGGGAAUCCGUCGAAGAGCCAGUGCAAAAAUCGAGGAAAAAAGGUAAAAUAAAAGCGCCGGAUAAGCCGAUCCCGACCAGCGUGGUGACUUUAUACGUCUCUGGAAAGCACCCAGGUGAAUUUACUACUCUUCUGUCAACUGUAGUUGGUGGAGACGAAUCAAGUUCCUUGAGAAAGCGAGAAAUAAGUCCGAAAGAUCUUAAAUACUACAAAAUUGAAGCGUCGAAGUUGCCGCAACUGGGAAGUUCCUUCUCGGAUGAUCUGAGCAAUUACGUAACGCCGGUCCUCGAUGAAGUCGUCAUAGAGAGUAGCGAAAUAGAAACGCAGAGUCUGGAAAGCGUAAUAGGCGACGUCAGUAAGUAUUUAUCCAGUUCGUACAAAGACGACCGAAUCCAAUACUCGACUACCGGUCAUUUUUUAUUGAAAGGCCUCGCUGAGUCUGCUCCGGAUCAGCGGAAGGCCUCUUCAAGGAGCGACGCACCGUUGAGGAGAAAACGUCAAAUUGAACAGGACCAACCAAAACGAAAAUUAAUAAGGAUCAAAGUACCUAUCGUGAGAGCGAAACCCGUCCGAGAAGAGGACGAAGACGAUUACGAUUCCACGACCGAGCAGGCGACCCGUCAAUCACCGACUGAAUAUUUUUUCGAAGAACCCACUACAGAAAGGAAUGUGAAAAGAGUAAGAGUGGCUAAGAAAAGAAUUUCUGAAAUGGUCGGUGGCGAAACUCCAAAAAGGAGAAUUGUCGUCACGAGACGACGCCCGAUUGACCCGAUCGAAGUAGAGCCGACGGAAUACAUAAAAGAAACGGAGGAAAGCCCUCGGCCGCUUCACGAGACCAUCCAACCGAAAAGGAGGAGGAUAUUAAAGACCAAAAAACGGCUUGUGACUCAAGAUAGUGGAUUUACCGAACCGACCCAAAGAAGGAGGAUUACGAUUACAAAAAAGCGACCGCUACAAACAGAAGACAUACAGAGUUCACCCGUGUUGGACAUGUCGACGCUAUACAACUAUCAAUAUUCCAUACCUUCGGAAGAAGGGAAAGCGAGCGUCAUGGUUUCUCAGGUGUUCAUGAGCGGCCCGGACAGCGUCUACCUGGCGCCGAACAUGGAAGACAAAAUCAAAGAGAUCUUAAACGAACCCUCAUUCGAACUCGAAAGUGGUAAAACAGAAAAUGAACGCGAAUCGGCCAGUUCUCAUGCCGGCCAACCGAAAAUAGUGCGACCGGUGAAGCCGACGGUGAUAAGGGGCGACACUCUGUACAGGGAAACGACGAAAUAUGUAGAAAGUGAGACAGAACACGCACCCACGACGCCGUUCGAAGAACAAUACGUGCAGUCGACCCCACAGGACUCGGAACAAAGACCGACGACAGAGCCGAAUGUCUUCGAAGAGAACGUGACCACGCAGCCGGAUUCAGCCAACGGCACGGAAGAUCGACAACCGGAAUCCGAUGUUGAUACGAAAGAACGCAAGACAGAAUCCGAUGAUAAGGAAGAACAACAGCCGGAAUCUUAUGAUGCUACGGAAGAAGAGCCGGAAGAAGAAGAAGAGCCAGACACGUACGAAGAAUACGAAGAUUUCGAGCCGACGCAGACCCCUGAAUCCAAAGACGAAUACGAAGAAGAACAAGAGGCCGUUACAGAAAACCAAGAAGAAAAGUUCGAACUCGACCCGACUUUCGUCACGAUUUUCCCGUAUGACGACGUGACGGAAGACGUCACACAGACGGUCGUACCGACGACCGAAUAUGAGACUGUGACAAAGACACUGACAACUACCAGACUCAGGACUUACACUUACGUCGUCACGAGGGUGAGCGGAAGCGAACAAAUAAUAACCUCUUCGACCUCUGUCAAACCCGAUGUGAAGACGGUGACAGUCACGGAAACCGUUCCCGUCACACCGACAGCCACAGCAAAUACUGAGAUCGGCAGAGGGCUGUACGUUGUUGAGCCACGAUACAAUUUGGCCACUAAAGUAAUGAGCAAUGGAGUGGAGGUGAUCGUCGCUGGGGGUAAAAGCACGCUUCCUGGCUCUCCUCAGCUUAGGGUGAUCCCAUCUGGCCUGGCCAAGCCCAUAACUCUAGCACCUAGCACGUUGACGGACCACAUGAUGAUGCUGUUGCCUCAGGAGAGUCAAAAACCGCAUAACGAUUUCAUAACGAAAACAUACAUGACGACGUACACUUACCUGACGACUUUUGCUCAAGAAGGAUCCACGGUGGUUUCGAGCCGAGAAAAAGUCGUAUCGAACGUUGUGACGGAGGAGGUCAAUCCGAGCAAGACGAGGCCCGUCGACCACUUCACCCUUACCAGCAGCCCCGAGCUGAUGACAGGAGUGUACCACACCACGUACACUUACUUGAACACGCUCGUGGACGGUGAACUUCCUCUGGUCGUGACGUCAAAGAAGACAGUGUCGAAUACGGUCACCGAGCAGUCCAAUUUUAUCCAGCCUUCAGAAUUGCCAGUUCAAGAUACCAAUACAUACCUAAGCACAGUUGCCUAUACGAAAACGUUGAGUGAAGGAGAUGAGAUGAAAGUCGUGAGUACUGAAGACGUCUUGACUCAAGUAGUCAUCACUGAAUCGGAUUACUUACCUUCAUCGUUGUCUGAAGAAAUCCGACCUACUGCCAUCACGACGGACGUGACCAAAACUUACUUCGCCACUUACACAUAUUUCAAGACGAAAGUUGAAGACGGUAAGACCAUCGUCAACACGGAAGUGGCAACGUCUUCGGAUAUAGUUACCGAAACGUUCACGAUACAGCCGAAGAAGACGUCGACGGAGGUCGCACAGACCCCAGAGACUAAAGUCCACGAAACUGGAGACCAGUCGGAUUCUCAACCGAUAAAUCUUUUCGCCACGAAAACAUACCUGACCACGUUCACCUACUUUACAACUCUGCUUCAAGACAACAAAUCGCCCAGUAUAGUAGUUAAAUCGAGAACGAAAGUGCAACAGAACAUUGUCACCGAAACUGUAGACAGCGGCCUUCUCGACACCGGUUAUUUAGACCUGUUAAAAAGUUCGGUUAACGAUAAUCACGAUUCUAUAAUUGCGACGGCUACUUUGAACAACGGUGACCAGAUGGAAAUUACGGCUAUGACGUCCGACUUGAUCCGAGAGACCGAAUCGCCGAGUGUGGCGACGUCUUUUACCGAAGUGACGCCGAGUAACGUCAUCACUGGCUCAACUAUCAUAUUCUUCGACGAAGAAGACCAAAUGGACAGCACGCCGAGUUUCGUCCAACCGUCUUUCACCGAUUCGCACAAAGAUCACAAUCUUCAAUCGAAAACUGCUACGCCCACGCUGUCAAAAACUGCUAAGCCUUCUCCGACUUCAGCCAGUCAGACAUACAACACAAAAGUGACAGAUUACGACAAGGACCAAGUGUCGAUACCAGAUAUAGUAAACGGUCCAAUAACGAGUGGAAGCUCCGGAUCUGUUAACAUAUUUAACGGUUUCAACGCCCUCGGCCCUGUUAUAAACGCGAUGGCUGAUUUGUUCCAUUCGAAUUUCAACGGAAAACAACCAAACGUGUCCGCUCCGAGACCGGUGGUCCAUUUCGCACCUCACAACCCUUUUGAAACGCAGCAAAAAGAAAUCGGCACCACCCCUAGAUCGCCGGUUUACAUCCCGGUGGGAGGAGUGUUCGACAGCGAACCCUCAGAGAGUCAACACUACGACGGUCACAACAUUUACCCAGAAGUAAACCAGCGGACGAAACCUUUACGAGACAGACCCAACAUCGAAGCCGCACUGCUCUCGGGCGGAAUUCCCAUAAGCCCUGGUCAAGUGAUUACAACCAACAGCGAUGUAAUUAUCGGAAAGCACGCCGUACACGGUCCUCGCCCCCCCGUCAAGCCCUUCGGAAAAGACAACGUUGAGGGUAUGAAGCCGCCGCCGCCGCCACCUCCUCCCCAAUCUUCGCCGCCGAAGCCCAACUGGCCCCCGAGAGAUCAAGAAAGAUACCCAAGCAGUCACGUACCUCACAGAGUACCUUCGAAUCCCGAGAUACCGAGGUUUCCACCGAAGAGAGACCAUCACAUUGGUGGAGGAACGAUACUGGCUCCUCCUCCGCCCGUCAGAGAUCACUACAUCCCCUUGAGAGAUCGAGUACCCCCUAAAUUAAACGUGCCUCACAAAAAUUAUCCUGAAAUAAAGGUCGACGUCCCGACUGACCCCGAUUUCCCAUACCCCAUCGACUCUCAGAACGAACAGUCGCAAACUUUGGUCAAUCUGUAUCCAGGAAAUAACAAACAUCCUAAAUUACCGCAAAUAGUAAGUAAUCUGCCUGGAUUGAAAUCUCAGGGAGAACAGAACGUUAACUACAACAAUAAAUUGAAACAGCCCCAGACCGAUCACCAAUAUCUGAAAUACAGACCCGUAUUCAAAGUGCCUAAACCUUCAUUUGAAAAACAUGAGAACAAAGACGAACCGUCUCAUUUUAUAAAUGUCAGCGUUUCACAGCAAGUGUAUAAAGAUGAAAAGCUUGAAGAAAACCAAUUUAACCAUCCGUUAUUGGUGAACAUACAACCGUCUCAAGUGGCCAAUGUAGUCAUUCCUCACGGAGUGUCGACAGCGUUGGUUUACAACGGGGAGCCCGAAAAACACAACCAGAAGGGUGAAAUCUUCAACGAACCUUCACCCUACCCGGAUGUGGAAGUAGGGAUGGUCGGUGUCGCCGGCCUGAGCACUUCCAGCGAAAACAAACCGCCUCAUGCCGCACACAUACCCUCCAACGCGAUACGGAUGGACGUCCCUCUUUCUCCUCAAGGGAUUGAGUCCGAAGUUUUCAAGGUUCCGACCAACGACAACAACAAAAGGCGGCCUGUCACCGGAAAAAGGCCAGCGGCGAACUUCAUCCUGGAACACGCUACGGGCUUGGAAUAUAUGACACCCCCUCCACCGCCGAUUUCUGCAUUGGUCAAUUAUCAUUUGGGACACGAUAUCGAGGACCAAGAUAGCGAAUCCUCGGUCAACAGUGAAUAUCACACCGAUGGGAGUGGCGAGAGGAUUAACCAGCCACUCAAGUCGAAGCCUUUUUUCGACUAUGACGGCGAACCAGCACCGCCGAAACCCGCGAUACGACCCGAUAUCAACACGUCCGGCGCAAACGGAGUCAAGUAUUCCGCAAUUAACUCCAGACCGGUCGUCUUAGGUUUCGAAAACACCGAGAAACCUCCUCCGAUCAUUAAAGGGAUACCCAACGUCAACACGUUCGGCGAGGACUCGCAGGCCACAGUCGCAGUGGGAAAACCUACAAAUAUGACACCAAAGGACGACAUGGAUCAUAUAUUGAUAGUCAGCGAUAAAGUAGAUGUCGUCGGCACUUCUCAUAGCCCUUUUGAUUUAAACAGAGACCAAACGGCUCCACAGAACCAACCCCAGCAUCCUUCGGCAAAACCACCAUUCGACAACACCGUUUACGCUAUGAAUAUGGAUGAGAAACUUCCUCUUCCGACUUAUGAAACUCCCCCUCAACUUACAACAUACGAAAUCCCUCCGUCUUCGAAGGAAGAAGACAACACGGCGAGGCCGAUCAACAUGGAAAUCGAUCGAGACAGAAAUUCUGCAUACCAAAGCGAUGCCGUUCUUGGUUUGACUCCGCCAGCGGCGACUCGAUACCCGAACCACGACAAAACGACACAUCGCCCGUCUCAGAGCAGCAGAAGGCCGUUUCCGCCUUUCAGGAAACGUCCGAAUCCACCUCCCUACAAGUUCGAAAGGCCUCUGCCCACAAUCGAAUCCAGGCCCAAGAAACCGACGUUUUUAGAAACCGAGAGACCGCCGCUGCCUCCGGUGCCGACGGAAAUUCUUUCACCUCCUAAACCGACGGACGAUUUUGUUCGAAACGGAAACAAAAACAGGCAGACGACCGACAGAAACGACACCAAGCCGUCAGCGACGUCUCACGAAAGUAUAAACCCCAUUUUAGAAGGAUCUCUCGUAGUUGAACCCCCUGCCAAACCAGAAGUGAUCGCACCAGAGAGUAAAGUCGUUCUUAACAACAACUUCAAACCUGGAGGUCAUCUGAAUAAAAAUAAACCGAAAUAUCCCGACUCCUCUCCGCUAUCUACAAAAUUUUACACACCGACAUUGGCCUCGCAGGAUAAUACAAGACCAUCAACUCAAAAACCUUUUCUUGUCGGAUCGGAAACAGUCUUCCCAGAAGAAUCGUUGCCAACAUCGACUGAGUCGUUGAAACCGACGCUUGUCGUGGAGUCUGCCUCGCCCGUCUCGCCCACGACCUUCGACAGCAGUCCAGCGACUCAAUUCGUUAUUCCAGCCAGAGCGACUAAAUUACACAACAGCAUAAUACCGUUCUUUAUAAGAGACCGUCCAGCGGAUAAGCAUCCACUCGGCUCGAGUCCGGCUGGAAACGUCGGCAACAAGCCUACGACAAAAACAUUCACUGUUCAGAAUAUAAUAGUAUCUCCCGUGGCGACAACUCACGUAGUCACUCAUACGCAGACGUUAACCGUCACGACAACGGAAUCUAAAAUAAUCCAGAGCAAAGGGCAAAAGCCGUCGACGCACACGUUGGUUGUCACUAAAACUUUGACGUCGACCCUACUCGAUACCGUGACAGAAAUCCAUACUCUAGUAAAGCCCACGAGCAUAUUGUCGACAGUAACCACAACAAUGCCGCAAGUAACGACUACAGUGUUUCCGACUAUUACACCACCGCAUCCCGAAUCGACUAAAAUAGUCCAAGAAUCCGACUCGGUGACGGCGGGCACAAACGACAACGAUUCGAUUCUGGUCAUCAUGACGGACAAAGAUUCACAAUACGCCCCUGCUAAAUACGACCCCGACGAGCCACCAUUAGAAAUCGAAGCGCCUGAAGAAGAAGAGGAAGUCAAUCCGAACGUCCUUCUGGGCGGGUUUUUAUCCCACCAUUCUUCAGAUAACGAGUGUAAACCGGACUGUAAAGCGACAAAGAACGAGAGGUGCCAAAAGAUCAACAACAUCAUGAGAUGCGUAUGCAGGCCAGGUUUCGCAAGGAUGUUCCCGGACAGGCCGUGUAAACCUACCUACACGUUCCGUUUGAGCAUCCCUCUCGAAAGAUUAGGCCCUGAAAAAAUCACAUAUUCCCCGACCCUCCUCGACACCAAUUCGACUGAUUAUCAGGCACUUUCUGAAGCGACCAAAGAAGGACUGGACAGAAUGAUAAUGCAGUCUGAAAUACGAGAUGUUUACCACAGUCUUCAAAUAACUGGUUUCAAGCCGGAUAAUAAAGAAGACAACGCCAUGGCCAACUUUUAUAUCCAGCUAUCUGAAAACACGGAUGAGAUGAAGCUCAUGGAGAUGUUUAAAAAGCAUUUGAUGUCGAACAACUUCAGCAUAGGCGGGACGGAUCUUCAUGCGUCCAAAGAGAAAAUUGAACACUUGAGAGCCGAAGAUUUCGAUGAAUGUAAUGAUACGAAAUUUCACGAUUGUUCGGAGAACGCGCAAUGCUUCAACUUACGCGGGACGUACACGUGUAGUUGCAAAGAAGGAUUCACCGACCUUUCUCAUAACACACUUUACCCAGGACGUGUUUGCUCAGCUGAAAUGAUAGGCUGCCAGCGGUGCAACUUCCAUGGGAAUUGCUUCACGAGAAACGAAGAAGAAGAAUUGUGUGAAUGCUUCCAGUGGUACGCCGGCCAAUACUGCCAAAUUAAUCUAAAAGUCAUGCUGCUCAUACUUUCUCUUGUCGGAAUCAGCUUGAUGGUGCUGCUCGUCGUUUGUCUUGUGCUGUCGUGCAUGAGGAGAAGGCCGGUCAGAAAAGCGGCGGCAGCCCUGAGACCGCAAGGUUUCAGGUUCAGGCCACCGAGACCUUCGCCGGCAGACAAGAGAGCCAUGAUCAACAUGGAUACAUCGAGCGAGGCCAGUAUGGAGCACACACCCCCGCCGUACAUCAAACAGGUGGCUUUGAACGCACAGAGACCUAGACCUUGCAGAAAACAGAGCAAAGCUCCUUCGCCGCCACUUAGCUUCCACGGCACAAUGGAACAGAGAGACAGAUCCCUCACUGUUAUGAUUCCGAGGGCAAAAUACAGACCAGUACCAGUACAGCCAAUGUCUACGUUCGGCCCUGAACAGAAACUCCUGAAGUAUCUCACGAUAGAAAAACCGGGAUCAAGGAGUAACAGCAGAAAACCGAGCAGUUCGACGAACCAUUCUCACGACCCUCCGAGUCCGAAGAAAACGCAAAUCCCAUCGCCUUCGAGGAAGCCUUCUGCAGGUGCCUUGGUGUCGGCUGGAUUUGAAGUUUCUGCGACUGUCGGCAGAACGAAAGAAAUCCACGAAUGCUACAUAACCGAACCACACACCGAUUUAGGUCAGACUGGUUUCAGCACAAUAAGAACCGCUGACAGUUCAAUAAUAGUGGACAUACCUCCUCCACCUACAUUAGAAGCCGAACUGCUAGACACAUCAAAAAUUGACUUACUGACCGUCUCGGAAGCAAGAUCGUACGAUGAAACAACGAUCCAUCCCCCGACGAAGUGCCUGCAAGGUCAUUAUGACAAGCACAUGAGUGAUGCCAUACGAUGGUAGAACGGGACAUCGGCUCGACUUUUGUCAUGCCCCAGUCGCAUCUUUACAAACCUGACCGGGGUAAUGGAAGUGACAUAUCCAAUUUUGACUCCCUUUGAUAACCCAG
RNAcentral lists this unclassified non-coding RNA (15359 nucleotides) under Cimex lectularius (bed bug). RNAcentral describes it as "mucin-17, transcript variant X1". Lineage: Eukaryota; Metazoa; Arthropoda; Insecta; Hemiptera; Cimicidae. The record is from RNAcentral.